RNAcentral lists this ribosomal RNA (372 nucleotides) under uncultured bacterium. Its description in RNAcentral is "bacterial SSU rRNA". It matches the Rfam family "Bacterial small subunit ribosomal RNA", at positions 432 to 793 of the family's 1533-position model. The record is from RNAcentral.
CCUGUUGUUAGAGAAGAAAGUGCGUGAGAGUAACUGUUCACGUUUCGACGGUAUCUAACCAGAAAGCCACGGCUAACUACGUGCCAGCAGCCGCGGUAAUACGUAGGUGGCAAGCGUUAUCCGGAUUUAGUUGGGACGUAAAGGGAACGCAGGCGGUUCUUUAAGUCUGAUGUGAAAGCCUUCGGCUUAACCGGAGUAGUGCAUUGGAAACUGGAGACUUGAGUGCAGAAGAGGAGAGUGGAACUCCAUGUGUAGCGGUGAAGUGCGUAGAUAUAUGGAAGAACACCAGUGGACGAAAGCGGCUCUCUGGUCUGUAACUGACGCUGAGGUUACGAAAGCGUGGGUAGCAAACAGGAUUAGAUACCCUGGUAG